GGAGAGAUGCCAGAGUGGUUGAAUGGGGCGGUCUCGAAAACCGUUAUGCUCGCAAGGGUAUCCAGGGUUCGAAUCCCUGUCUCUCCG
Molecule: transfer RNA, 87 nt
Filed under: Bacteroidetes bacterium RIFCSPLOWO2_02_FULL_36_8
Lineage: Bacteria; Pseudomonadati; Bacteroidota
Also listed under: 1 other name
Description: tRNA-Ser
Rfam family: tRNA
About the family: Transfer RNA (tRNA) molecules are approximately 80 nucleotides in length. Their secondary structure includes four short double-helical elements and three loops (D, anti-codon, and T loops).
Source: RNAcentral